RNAcentral lists this ribosomal RNA (398 nucleotides) under uncultured bacterium. RNAcentral's name for it is "partial 16S ribosomal RNA". It matches the Rfam family "Bacterial small subunit ribosomal RNA", at positions 523 to 918 of the family's 1533-position model. The record is from RNAcentral.
AUACGUAGGGUGCGAGCGUUGUCCGGAAUUACUGGGCGUAAAGAGCUCGUAGGUGGUUUGUCGCGUCGUCUGUGAAAUUCCGGGGCUUAACUCCGGGCGUGCAGGCGAUACGGGCAUAACUUGAGUACUGUAGGGGAGACUGGAAUUCCUGGUGUAGCGGUGAAAUGCGCAGAUAUCAGGAGGAACACAGGUGGCGAAGGGGGGUCUCUGGGCAGUAACUGACGCUGAGGAGCGAAAGCAUGGGUAGCGAACAGGAUUAGAUGCCCUGGUAGUCCAUGCCGUAAACGGUGGGCGCUAGGUGUAGGGGUCUUCCACGACUUCUGUGCCGUAGCUAACGCAUUAAGCGCCCCGCCUGGGGAGUACGGCCGCAAGGCUAAAACUCAAAGGAAUUGACGGGG